UGCCUUCGAUGAAGCUCUCGAUAGCACCGACCGGUCUACCAGACGCUCUGGCGUCGUUUCUAUUGAUCGCGUUCCUGGAUACAGGUACCUGGGCCUCGGGCCUGGAACCCGAGACCCUGGUCGCACUCGUCGCCCCACCGGUGUCAGCGGAAUCAUCCUCGAGAUGCAGACUCAAGAUACCGUCGAGUUUGACUCGGAGCGACCUGACAUCGUAUACGUCAAACUGGUGUCCUCGAACUCGCUCCUUCUUCCUCCUUGUCUUCCUUCUCCGUUCCUCCCUUUAAACGUGCGCGUCUCGUAAUCUUCUCACGGGAUAGCACUGACUCAACGCGAGAUACGUAUCGCGGUAUACCCUUUUUUCCUCCUGCGAUUUCGGGGACUACGCCCCUCGACCAAGGCGCCUCGGACUCUACUUCUCGGGUGCCGACCGGCGCAGACCUCGGGGUUCGAAGCUCCUCUCGUUGCAGCACCGAAAAAUCACCACCUGCGAAAAUUUAUGCGACGACGCACACGCACGCAGCACGCACGAACGGGUCAGCGAACGGUGCAUCGUCUUCUGUCAAAAUAGGGAUCUACAGUAUUAUUAUUCUGGCGGUAAGUCUGUCUUCGCGGCGCUAGAAGCGAGUUCAUUCAGCAAAACGUCACUAUCUGUCAAUGGCAGAUGUCUGUAGUAAUCAAUGGAGACUACCCAUAUGAUAAUCAGUGAAUGGAGUAGUACGUAACAUGUGACAGUUGCCAGUGACUAGUGGUGUCAUCAGUGGACGAAAGCUACAGUAGCUUGGUCCGUUGUCGCUUGGUCGAUUGUACAGAAUAUCGCGGAUACCGACUAGACAUUUUGCGUCCGGAUUCGGCGAAGAAAGAAUCUGUCCUCGGAUAUUUUUAAAUUAAUCGAGACUGUCAUCCAAUCGUGCCAAACUAGCGGCGAGAAUUAACAAUCGCAGUGGUGAUUAAAAAAUCUCGUCUACAUCUGACCCGAUCCGACGACGUCGCCGGUGUUACUUGUAAUCGCGUCUCACUGUCGUCCUACGCAGAAAAGGAAUCAACUUUUCAUCCAUCGCAGAUCGCAGCUGUUCGCCGUGCGGCGCGAUAAGCGUGGGUGUCGUGACCUCGCUCAACGAAAACCUUAUAUUUCCGAAAGAUAUCCUAAUUUUUGGAGACGGAGACACAUAUUGCGUGUAUGCAAAUGCACUGCAAGACGUAUUGCGUCUCGAACGGAAGUUCAGUGACCAACACGCACAUCACGGCAGCGCAUUCUUGUCGCGCGAAGCCUUGUAUGUAUGACACAAGAUCUGAUAUACGUGUCACGUCGAUGUGACAAUAAAUGAGACGGACACGCGUUGUAUCGCGCGCAGAUAUAAUGAUUUAGGGAGGAAAUACAUCUUCAUUCAUACUCCGAACGUAUAUGGGAUCGUCAUUGUAGACACACAAGUGAAACAAAUCGUAUAUUUCCAAUUGCAAACACAUACACGUAUAUGUAAUAUAUCAUAUAUAGAAAUAUUUGCUUUUAUGUAUGACAUUUAUCUCUGAAUAUAUGUAGAUAUUUUUUAUGUACAUACAUAUAUAAUGUAUGUCGUAUGCACGUGCAUAUAUUUGUUGAAUUCCAUUUGUGCGUUUACGCGUCAGACAAGUCACGGUGUCUAUACAACGUUACUACUUGUUUUUUUUGAUGCUGACUAAGCAAGAAGAUCUCUAUCAUAGAAGGAUAUAAAGUUGGUAUCAUGAUGCAAGGAUUACUUAAUUUGCAUAAUUAUGUGAAAGAUCAAUGUUACUUGAAAUUGAACUGAUUAGUGUCAUUUCUCGAUAUCUUGCAAUUACGAAAGAUAAAAGUAUACAUACAUAAAUA
This 1843-nucleotide long non-coding RNA is filed under the name Camponotus floridanus (Florida carpenter ant). Its description in RNAcentral is "uncharacterized LOC105255581, transcript variant X1". The record is from RNAcentral. Lineage: Eukaryota; Metazoa; Arthropoda; Insecta; Hymenoptera; Formicidae.